CCUGAGAGUUUCCAGUUUACAGUGUGGACUCUUCAGUCCAACAGAAAGCCGCUUCAGUCCUGAAUCCUGCAGGUUGUUGUUACUCAGGUCCAGCUCUCUCAGAUGGGAGGGGUUGGAGCUCAGAGCUGAGACCAGAGAAGCACAACCUUCCUCUGUGAUCAGGCAGCCUGACAGCCUGCAAACACACAAAACAACACAUUACAUAAUAAACAUGUUCAAGGAAAGAGACUCAAACUAAAUAAACAAAAC
Dicentrarchus labrax (European seabass) is the source of this 249-nucleotide long non-coding RNA. RefSeq lists it as uncharacterized. Lineage: Eukaryota; Metazoa; Chordata; Actinopteri; Moronidae. The record is from RefSeq and is a predicted model, not a curated record. The transcript is spliced from 3 exons.